This 224-nucleotide long non-coding RNA is filed under the name Amborella trichopoda. RNAcentral's name for it is "long non-coding RNA (ATRI_LNC004439)". The record is from RNAcentral. Lineage: Eukaryota; Viridiplantae; Streptophyta; Magnoliopsida; Amborellales; Amborellaceae.
CCUUUUUCUCUCUUCUCUAGGGCCACGCCUCUCUCUCUCUACUCUCUUAUUUUCUCUCUCUUUCUCUUUCUUUCCUGAUCUAAUCUAAAGGUUGGGAAAAUUAGGGUUCGAGCCUAAUUAUUUUGGAGUUAGGGUUUUGUAGAGAUUUAAGGGAGGUUACCUAGUUUGGAUUAAAUUAGCUUUCUCGAGAUUGAAGUUAGACUGCUGAUCCGGUGCCAUUGAAU